Uranotaenia lowii is the source of this 797-nucleotide long non-coding RNA. RefSeq lists it as uncharacterized. The record is from RefSeq and is a predicted model, not a curated record. The transcript is spliced from 2 exons. Lineage: Eukaryota; Metazoa; Arthropoda; Insecta; Diptera; Culicidae.
GAGCAAAGUGAAAAUGCUCACGAGUUUAAUCACUUCCAUACCGCACCGGGGGUUAGUAUGAAGGUGAGCAAAAUAGGGCCGAUGCCGUCGGGACCGACAAAAUCACCAAAUUUGCUCACUAGAAAGGGGCGAGAGCAAACAUGCACUGAAAAAAUUCUACCGUUUUGAGCAGAAUUAAACAAACGAUGUCGCAGCGUGUAGAUGUUUGUUGAUAUUUAUUUUAAGAAAAAAAUUGUAUCAGCUUAAAAUUGUGGAUGGUUUUUUUUGUAAUAACUGCAGUUAAAUUCGCAAUUUCGUUACAUUUUUUCGGGGUUUUCCAGGAAUUGAACGAGAAAGUGUAAAUGCUGGUUCUGAUGAUAAACAAACUUGAAGCAUCGUAAUUUGUGACCAAAAAUGGUCACUCGGAGUUUCUCGGAGUAAUAAUAAUCGAGACCAGUGCGCUGUGCAGGAUUUUUGUAUCCAACCGGCCGAUAUGGGUGGCAUUCCAGUACUGUCCCUACCGAUUCGGCUUUCGGAACGAGGUCCAAUAAGUUUGCAACUAAUGGGACCCAGUUUUUCGGAGCAGCAAUUAUUUCAAUCAGCACGUUGGAUAGAAAAAGAAGUUGAAGAUUUUUUAGAAAAGUAUGAUUUUAAUAUAAAUAUAAUAAACAAAUAAAGUUGAAUUUUAGUUGAAUUGUUUGGUUUGUUAAAUUUUGUUUUUCGGGUCCAUUUGUUAGGAAAUAUAAGUGCCCGGCGUUUUGAAAGCAAAAUCGAGCUUAAUUCGAAAAUAUAUUCUUAUCUGAACUUAUUUUAUUCAA